CAGUCGCCACGGUAAUACGGAGGGUGCAAGUGUUAAUCGGAAUUACUGGGCGUAAAGCGCACGCAGGCGGUUUGUUAAGUCAGAUGUGAAAUCCCCGAGCUUAACUUGGGAACUGCAUUUGAAACUGGCAAGCUAGAGUCUUGUAGAGGGGGGUAGAAUUACAGGUGUAGCGGUGAAAUGCGUAGAGAUCUGGAGGAAUACCGGUGGCGAAGGCGGCCCCCUGGACAAAGACUGACGCUCAGGUGCGAAAGCGUGGGGAGCAAACAGGAUUAGAUACCCCUGUAGUCCCUGUCUCUUAUAC
This 301-nucleotide ribosomal RNA is filed under the name uncultured bacterium. RNAcentral describes it as "partial 16S ribosomal RNA". It matches the Rfam family "Bacterial small subunit ribosomal RNA", at positions 509 to 807 of the family's 1533-position model. The record is from RNAcentral.